Molecule: long non-coding RNA, 388 nt
Filed under: Pan troglodytes (chimpanzee)
Lineage: Eukaryota; Metazoa; Chordata; Mammalia; Primates; Hominidae
Description: long non-coding RNA NONPTRT017669
Source: RNAcentral
CCAGAGCUUGGCAUCAUGCCCCCGCCGGGAUUGCAGGCCUGAGGAUCCGGCUGUUCAACUUCUCCCUGAAGCUGCUCACCUGCCUGCUCUACAUUGUGCGCGUCCUGCUCGACGACCCGGCCCUGGGCAUCGGAUGGUCAGAAGAGGGCAGAACCCACUAGGAGAGUUUGAGAAGGAGAACUGGGCCCUGACUGACUCUCAAGCUACUUUCCUAGGUCACUCCCCACCCCAAGUCCCAGGGUCCCCUGGGGCUUCUGGUUUCACAUCCCCACAGGGCCCAAGUCUGUUGUGUUCACUGCCCGUCCCCUAGCACAGCGUCCAGGACACAGAUGGGGGUGGGAAGAUGGGUGGAUGAUGGAUGGAUGGUUGGAUGGAUGGUGGAUGAUGG